GUUGUAUGGUUAAGUGACUAAGCGUACACGGUGGAUGCCUUGGCAGUCAGAGGCGAUGAAAGACGUAGUAACUUGCGAUAAGCCCAGAUUAGGUAGUAACAACCAUUUGAGUCUGGGAUUUCUGAAUGGGGAAACCCACGUGCAUAAGCACGUAUCCUUACCUGAAUACAUAGGGUAAGGAGGCGAACCGGGGGAACUGAAACAUCUAAGUACCCCGAGGAAAAGAAAUCAACCGAGAUUCCGAAAGUAGCGGCGAGCGAAAUUGGACUAGCCCUUAAGCUUUACACGCGUUAGACGAACGGUCUGGAAAGUCCGACGAUACAGGGUGAUAGUCCCGUAGUUGACGACGUGUGUUCAGUGAAAUCGAGUAGGGCGGGACACGUGAUAUCCUGUCUGAAUAUGGGGGGACCAUCCUCCAAGGCUAAAUACUACUGACUGACCGAUAGUGAACCAGUACCGUGAGGGAAAGGCGAAAAGAACCCCUGUGAGGGGAGUGAAAUAGAACCUGAAACCGUGUACGUACAAGCAGUAGGAGCAGGCUUUGUCCUGUGACUGCGUACCUUUUGUAUAAUGGGUCAGCGACUUAUAUUCAGUGGCAAGGUUAACCAUCUAGGGGAGCCGUAGGGAAACCGAGUCUUAACUGGGCGUUCAGUCUCUGGAUAUAGACCCGAAACCAGGUGAUCUAGCCAUGGGCAGGUUGAAGGUUGAGUAACAUCAACUGGAGGACCGAACCGACUAAUGUUGAAAAAUUAGCGGAUGACUUGUGGCUAGGGGUGAAAGGCCAAUCAAACCUGGAGAUAGCUGGUUCUCCCCGAAAGCUAUUUAGGUAGCGCCUCGGACGAAUACUACUGGGGGUAGAGCACUGUUAAGGCUAGGGGGUCAUCCCGACUUACCAACCCUUUGCAAACUCCGAAUACCAGUAAGUACUAUCCGGGAGACACACGGCGGGUGCUAACGUCCGUCGUGGAGAGGGAAACAACCCAGACCGCCAGCUAAGGUCCCAAAUUACUACUAAGUGGGAAACGAUGUGGGAAGGCUCAGACAGCCAGGAUGUUGGCUUAGAAGCAGCCAUCAUUUAAAGAAAGCGUAAUAGCUCACUGGUCGAGUCGGCCUGCGCGGAAGAUGUAACGGGGCUAAGUAGUAAACCGAAGCUGCGGCAAUAUACUUUUGUAUAUUGGGUAGGGGAGCGUUCUGUAAGCGGUUGAAGGUGUGUGGUAACGCAUGCUGGACGUAUCAGAAGUGCGAAUGCUGACAUGAGUAACGAUAAAGGGGGUGAAAAACCUCCUCGCCGGAAGACCAAGGGUUCCUGUCCAACGUUAAUCGGGGCAGGGUAAGUCGACCCCUAAGGCGAGGCCGAAAGGCGUAGUCGAUGGGAAACGGGUUAAUAUUCCCGUACUUCUUACAAUUGCGAUGGGGGGACGGAGAAGGCUAGGUGGGCCUGGCGACGGUUGUCCAGGUUCAAGUGCGUAGGCUUAAGAGUUAGGUAAAUCCGGCUCUUUUUAAGGCUGAGACACGACGUCGAGCACCUACGGGUGUGAAGUCAUUGAUGCCAUGCUUCCAGGAAAAGCCUCUAAGCUUCAGAUUGUAAGGAAUCGUACCCCAAACCGACACAGGUGGUCGGGUAGAGAAUACCAAGGCGCUUGAGAGAACUCGGGUGAAGGAACUAGGCAAAAUGGUACCGUAACUUCGGGAGAAGGUACGCUCUCGACGGUGAAGUCCCUCGCGGAUGGAGCUAUUGAGAGUCGCAGAUACCAGGUGGCUGCAACUGUUUAUUAAAAACACAGCACUGUGCAAAAUCGUAAGAUGACGUAUACGGUGUGACGCCUGCCCGGUGCCGGAAGGUUAAUUGAUGGGGUUAGACUUCGGUCGAAGCUCUUGAUCGAAGCCCCGGUAAACGGCGGCCGUAACUAUAACGGUCCUAAGGUAGCGAAAUUCCUUGUCGGGUAAGUUCCGACCUGCACGAAUGGCGUAAUGAUGGCCACGCUGUCUCCACCCGAGACUCAGUGAAAUUGAAAUCGCUGUGAAGAUGCAGUGUACCCGCGGCUAGACGGAAAGACCCCGUGAACCUUUACUACAGCUUGGCACUGAACAUUGACCCUACAUGUGUAGGAUAGGUGGGAGGCUUUGAAGACGGUACGCCAGUAUCGUUGGAGCCGUCCUUGAAAUACCACCCUUGUAGUGUUGAUGUUCUAACGUCGACCCCUUAUCGGGGUUGCGGACAGUGCCUGGUGGGUAGUUUGACUGGGGCGGUCUCCUCCCAAAGAGUAACGGAGGAGCACGAAGGUGGGCUAAUCACGGUUGGACAUCGUGAGGUUAGUGCAAUGGCAUAAGCCCGCUUGACUGCGAGAAUGACAAUUCGAGCAGGUGCGAAAGCAGGUCAUAGUGAUCCGGUGGUUCUGAAUGGAAGGGCCAUCGCUCAACGGAUAAAAGGUACUCCGGGGAUAACAGGCUGAUACCGCCCAAGAGUUCAUAUCGACGGCGGUGUUUGGCACCUCGAUGUCGGCUCAUCACAUCCUGGGGCUGAAGUCGGUCCCAAGGGUAUGGCUGUUCGCCAUUUAAAGUGGUACGCGAGCUGGGUUUAGAACGUCGUGAGACAGUUCGGUCCCUAUCUGCCGUGGGCGUUGGAAGAUUGAAGGGGGCUGCUCCUAGUACGAGAGGACCGGAGUGGACGAACCUCUGGUGUUCGGGUUGUGUCGCCAGACGCAUUGCCCGGUAGCUAAGUUCGGAAUCGAUAACCGCUGAAAGCAUCUAAGCGGGAAGCGAGCCCUGAGAUGAGUCUUCCCUGAUACUUUAAGUAUCCUAAAGGGUUGUCGGAGACUACGACGUUGAUAGGUCAGGUGUGUAAGUGCUGUGAGGCAUUGAGCUAACUGAUACUAAUUGCCCGUGAGGCUUAACCAUACAACACCCAAGGGGUUU
This 2916-nucleotide ribosomal RNA is filed under the name Vibrio parahaemolyticus. Its description in RNAcentral is "23S ribosomal RNA". It matches the Rfam family "Bacterial large subunit ribosomal RNA". The record is from RNAcentral. Lineage: Bacteria; Pseudomonadati; Pseudomonadota; Gammaproteobacteria; Vibrionales; Vibrionaceae.